RNAcentral lists this ribosomal RNA (442 nucleotides) under uncultured bacterium. Its description in RNAcentral is "partial 16S ribosomal RNA". It matches the Rfam family "Bacterial small subunit ribosomal RNA", at positions 338 to 795 of the family's 1533-position model. The record is from RNAcentral.
CCUACGGGAGGCAGCAGUAGGGAAUCUUUCACACUGGGCGAAAGCCUGAUGGAGCAACGCCGCGUGCAGGAUGAAGGCCUUCGGGUUGUAAACUGCUUUUAUAAGCGAGAAAUAUGAUGGUAACUUAUGAAUAAGGAUCGGCUAACUACGUGCCAGCAGCCGCGGUCAUACGUAGGAUCCGAGCAUUAUCCGGAGUGACUGGGUGUAAAGAGUUGCGUAGGUGGCAUAAUAAGUAGCUAGUGAAAUCUGGUGGCUCAACCAUUCAGACUAUUAGCUAAACUGUUAAGCUCGAGACCGUUAGGGGUAACUGGAAUUUCUAGUGUAGGAGUGAAAUCCGUAGAUAUUAGAAGGAACACCAAUAGCGUAGGCAGGUUGCUGGGACGGUUCUGACACGAAGGCACGAAAGCGUAGGGAGCAAACGGGAUUAGAUACCCUAGUAGUC